GGGGCUGUAGCUCAGUGGCAGAGCACUUGCCUAGCAUGCAUGAGGCACGAGGUUCGAUCCUCAGCACCA
RNAcentral lists this transfer RNA (69 nucleotides) under Marmota monax (woodchuck). It matches the Rfam family "tRNA". From Rfam's summary of the family: Transfer RNA (tRNA) molecules are approximately 80 nucleotides in length. Their secondary structure includes four short double-helical elements and three loops (D, anti-codon, and T loops). Further hydrogen bonds mediate the characteristic L-shaped molecular structure. tRNAs have two regions of fundamental functional importance: the anti-codon, which is responsible for specific mRNA codon recognition, and the 3' end, to which the tRNAs corresponding amino acid is attached (by aminoacyl-tRNA synthetases). tRNAs cope with the degeneracy of the genetic code in two manners: having more than one tRNA (with a specific anti-codon) for a particular amino acid; and 'wobble' base-pairing, i.e. permitting non-standard base-pairing at the 3rd anti-codon position. Lineage: Eukaryota; Metazoa; Chordata; Mammalia; Rodentia; Sciuridae. The record is from Rfam by way of RNAcentral.